GGACAGCUGCCAAAGGGCUUCCCUUAGGGGACCUAUUAUACCACUUCCCGGAAUAGAAGACAAGAAGGAGGUUUGACAUCACUCGUGACACAAGAAGGUCAGCUCACCAAAGGGGGGAAGAAAGGUCAGCACUUGAGAGGCUUGCUUCGCUCAAAGGUGGGAAGAAAGGUCAGCACUUGAGAGGCUUGCUUCGGUAGGAGUCAAAAAGAAAAGGCUCAAGAAGGAACUGCACUCGAAGAAUGGAAAGGCAGGCUGCGAAGGCGCUAAUACGAUUGUUCUCGAAGCAAAGGCCCAUACAAUUACCUUUUCCUUAUAUAAAUAAUAAAUAAUAAUAAAUAUGCCCUUUGAUCGCU
This 353-nucleotide long non-coding RNA is filed under the name Nicotiana benthamiana. Its description in RNAcentral is "long non-coding RNA (NBEN_LNC021052)". Lineage: Eukaryota; Viridiplantae; Streptophyta; Magnoliopsida; Solanales; Solanaceae. The record is from RNAcentral.